AACGAACGCUGGCGGCAGGCUUAACACAUGCAAGUCGAACGCCCCGCAAGGGGAGUGGCAGACGGGUGAGUAACGCGUGGGAAUCUACCCAACCCUACGGAAUAACGCAUGGAAACGUGUGCUAAUACCGUAUACGCCCUUCGGGGGAAAGAUUUAUCGGGGAUGGAUGAGCCCGCGUUGGAUUAGCUAGUUGGUGGGGUAAAGGCCUACCAAGGCGACGAUCCAUAGCUGGUCUGAGAGGAUGAUCAGCCACAUUGGGACUGAGACACGGCCCAAACUCCUACGGGAGGCAGCAGUGGGGAAUAUUGGACAAUGGGCGCAAGCCUGAUCCAGCAAUGCCGCGUGAGUGAUGAAGGCCUUAGGGUUGUAAAGCUCUUUUACCCGAGAUGAUAAUGACAGUAUCGGGAGAAUAAGCCCCGGCUAACUCCGUGCCAGCAGCCGCGGUAAUACGGAGGGGGCUAGCGUUGUUCGGAAUUACUGGGCGUAAAGCGCACGUAGGCGUUUAUUCAAGUCAGAGGUGAAAGCCCGGGGCUCAACCCCGGAAUUGCCUUUGAGACUGCAUCGCUAGAAUUGUGGAGAGGUCAGUGGAAUUCCGAGUGUAGAGGUGAAAUUCGUAGAUAUUCGGAAGAACACCAGUGGCGAAGGCGACUGACUGGACAAGUAUUGACGCUGAGGUACGAAAGCGUGGGGAGCAAACAGGAUUAGAUACCCUGGUAGUCCACGCCGUAAACGAUGAUAACUANCUGUCCGGGCACUUGGUGCCUGGGUGGCGCAGCUAACGCAUUAAGCGCCCCGCCUGGGGAGUACGGCCGCAAGGCUAAA
This 822-nucleotide ribosomal RNA is filed under the name uncultured bacterium. RNAcentral describes it as "bacterial SSU rRNA". It matches the Rfam family "Bacterial small subunit ribosomal RNA", at positions 28 to 898 of the family's 1533-position model. The record is from RNAcentral.